This is a non-coding RNA of Podarcis lilfordi (Lilford's wall lizard), 72 nucleotides long. NCBI's taxonomy places the organism in Eukaryota, Metazoa, Chordata, Lepidosauria, Squamata, Lacertidae. The record is from the annotation of a GenBank genome assembly.
GGGGCCAUGGCUCAGUGGUAGAACAUCUGCUUUGCAUGCAGAAGGUGCCAGGUUCAAUUCCUGGCAUCUCCA